GUGGGGAAUCUUGCGCAAUGGGCGAAAGCCUGACGCAGCCAUGCCGCGUGAAUGAUGAAGGUCUUAGGAUUGUAAAAUUCUUUCACCGGGGACGAUAAUGACGGUACCCGGAGAAGAAGCUCCGGCUAACUUCGUGCCAGCAGCCGCGGUAAUACGAAGGGGGCUAGCGUUGCUCGGAAUUACUGGGCGUAAAGGGCGCGUAGGCGGACAGCUUAGUCAGGGGUGAAAGCCCAGGGCUCAACCUUGGAAUUGCCUUUGAUACUGGCUGUCUUGAGUUUGGGGGAGGUGAGUGGAACUCCGGGUGUAGAGGUGAAAUUCGUAGAUAUUCGGAAGAACACCAGUGGCGAAGGCGACUCACUGGCCCAAUACUGACGCUGAGGCGCGAAAGCGUGGGGAGCAAACAGGAUUAGAAACCCUAGUAGUCC
This 425-nucleotide ribosomal RNA is filed under the name uncultured bacterium. Its description in RNAcentral is "partial 16S ribosomal RNA". It matches the Rfam family "Bacterial small subunit ribosomal RNA", at positions 354 to 796 of the family's 1533-position model. The record is from RNAcentral.